Paramuricea clavata is the source of this 472-nucleotide non-coding RNA. The record is from the annotation of a GenBank genome assembly. Lineage: Eukaryota; Metazoa; Cnidaria; Anthozoa; Malacalcyonacea; Plexauridae.
CCGCCACGAGUGAAGACUAGCUCGGCUAAAUGCUCUCGUGUGCGGCAGGCUUAAAUGCAAAAUAUGCCGAUAUGCAUGAACACUUGAAAUUUUUCAAAUUUGUCCGCGGCUGCAACACUUCUGUGCCGAUACUCAAUAUAAAUCUGAUUAAAUAUGUCAAAACAUUAUUUUUACGUUAUAACAGGUAGCGGCAACUAUAAACAAGCUCCAGGAUCCUUCAUAUUCUCUCUUCGCAACAAAGAAAAUCUCCCGCCUUUUAAAGCCCCACUGAAAGAUCAAAAUACUCCGUACGCAAUUAACGCAGUGAUUAAUUAUGGACCAAUAUUUGGAGCAGGUUAUGAUCUAUACAUAUCUAAUGAUGCGGGUUCGAAUACCGUUUCAGGCACAACUUUUAAUCACAACUACCAGGCUCCAUCUGGUGUCAGCGACACAAGCACCAUCCUGGCUGGAACAAAUAAAUUUCAACCGUCAG